GAUGAAGAACGUAGUGAAAUGCGAUAAGUAAUGUGAAUUGCAGAAUUCAGUGAAUCAUCGAAUCUUUGAACGCACAUUGCGCCCGUCAGUAUUCUGGCGGGCAUGCCUGUUCGAGCGUCAUUACGCCCCUCAAGUCCCCUGUGGACUUGGUGUUGGGGAUCGGCGAGGCUGGUUUUCCAGCACAGCCGUCCCUUAAAUUAAUUGGCGGUCUCGCCGUGGCCCUCCUCUGCGCAGUAGUAAAACACUCGCAACAGGAGCCCGGCGCGGUCCACUGCCGUAAAACCCCCCAACUUUUUAUAGUUGACCUCGAAUCAGGUAGGACUACCCGCUGAACUUAAGCAUAUCUAUAAGCGGAGGA
Molecule: unclassified non-coding RNA, 358 nt
Filed under: soil metagenome
Description: partial contains 5.8S ribosomal RNA, internal transcribed spacer 2, and large subunit ribosomal RNA
Rfam family: 5.8S ribosomal RNA (bases 1-120)
Source: RNAcentral